RNAcentral lists this ribosomal RNA (253 nucleotides) under uncultured bacterium. RNAcentral's name for it is "partial 16S ribosomal RNA". It matches the Rfam family "Bacterial small subunit ribosomal RNA", at positions 524 to 776 of the family's 1533-position model. The record is from RNAcentral.
UACAGAGGUCUCAAGCGUUGUUCGGAAUUAUUGGGCGUAAAGCGCGUGUAGGCGGCUUUGCAAGUCGGGUGUGAAAGCCCUCAGCUCAACUGAGGAAGUGCGCCCGAAACUGCAGAGCUUGAGUACCGGAGAGGAUGGCGGAAUUCCCGAAGUAGAGGUGAAAUUCGUAGAUAUCGGGAGGAACACCGGUGGCGAAGGCGGCCAUCUGGACGGAUACUGACGCUGAGACGCGAAAGCGUGGGGAGCAAACAGG